RNAcentral lists this ribosomal RNA (2887 nucleotides) under Pseudomonas sp. 37 R 15. RNAcentral's name for it is "bacterial LSU rRNA". It matches the Rfam family "Bacterial large subunit ribosomal RNA". Lineage: Bacteria; Pseudomonadati; Pseudomonadota; Gammaproteobacteria; Pseudomonadales; Pseudomonadaceae. The record is from RNAcentral.
UCAAGUGAAGAAGCGCAUACGGUGGAUGCCUUGGCAGUCAGAGGCGAUGAAAGACGUGGUAGCCUGCGAAAAGCUUCGGGGAGUCGGCAAACAGACUUUGAUCCGGAGAUGUCUGAAUGGGGGAACCCAGCCAUCAUAAGAUGGUUAUCUUACGCUGAAUACAUAGGCGUAAGAGGCGAACCAGGGGAACUGAAACAUCUAAGUACCCUGAGGAAAAGAAAUCAACCGAGAUUCCCUUAGUAGUGGCGAGCGAACGGGGACUAGCCCUUAAGUGGCUUUGAGAUUAGCGGAACGCUCUGGAAAGUGCGGCCAUAGUGGGUGAUAGCCCUGUACGCGAAAAUCUCUUAGUCAUGAAAUCGAGUAGGACGGAGCACGAGAAACUUUGUCUGAAUAUGGGGGGACCAUCCUCCAAGGCUAAAUACUACUGACUGACCGAUAGUGAACUAGUACCGUGAGGGAAAGGCGAAAAGAACCCCGGAGAGGGGAGUGAAAUAGAUCCUGAAACCGUAUGCGUACAAGCAGUGGGAGCCCACUUUGUUGGGUGACUGCGUACCUUUUGUAUAAUGGGUCAGCGACUUAUUUUCAGUGGCGAGCUUAACCGAAUAGGGGAGGCGUAGCGAAAGCGAGUCUUAAUAGGGCGUCUAGUCGCUGGGAAUAGACCCGAAACCGGGCGAUCUAUCCAUGGGCAGGUUGAAGGUUGGGUAACACUAACUGGAGGACCGAACCGACUACCGUUGAAAAGUUAGCGGAUGACCUGUGGAUCGGAGUGAAAGGCUAAUCAAGCUCGGAGAUAGCUGGUUCUCCUCGAAAGCUAUUUAGGUAGCGCCUCAUGUAUCACUGUAGGGGGUAGAGCACUGUUUCGGCUAGGGGGUCAUCCCGACUUACCAAACCGAUGCAAACUCCGAAUACCUACAAGUGCCGAGCAUGGGAGACACACGGCGGGUGCUAACGUCCGUCGUGAAAAGGGAAACAACCCAGACCGUCAGCUAAGGUCCCAAAGUUAUGGUUAAGUGGGAAACGAUGUGGGAAGGCUUAGACAGCUAGGAGGUUGGCUUAGAAGCAGCCACCCUUUAAAGAAAGCGUAAUAGCUCACUAGUCGAGUCGGCCUGCGCGGAAGAUGUAACGGGGCUCAAACCAUACACCGAAGCUACGGGUAUCACGUAAGUGAUGCGGUAGAGGAGCGUUCUGUAAGCCUGUGAAGGUGAGUUGAGAAGCUUGCUGGAGGUAUCAGAAGUGCGAAUGCUGACAUGAGUAACGACAAUGGGUGUGAAAAACACCCACGCCGAAAGACCAAGGUUUCCUGCGCAACGUUAAUCGACGCAGGGUUAGUCGGUCCCUAAGGCGAGGCUGAAAAGCGUAGUCGAUGGAAAACAGGUUAAUAUUCCUGUACUUCUGGUUAUUGCGAUGGAGGGACGGAGAAGGCUAGGCCAGCUUGGCGUUGGUUGUCCAAGUUUAAGGUGGUAGGCUGAGAUCUUAGGUAAAUCCGGGAUCUUAAGGCCGAGAGCUGAUGACGAGUUAUCUUUUAGAUGACGAAGUGGUUGAUGCCAUGCUUCCAAGAAAAGCUUCUAAGCUUCAGGUAACCAGGAACCGUACCCCAAACCGACACAGGUGGUUGGGUAGAGAAUACCAAGGCGCUUGAGAGAACUCGGGUGAAGGAACUAGGCAAAAUGGCACCGUAACUUCGGGAGAAGGUGCGCCGGUGAGGGUGAAGGACUUGCUCCGUAAGCUCAUGCCGGUCGAAGAUACCAGGCCGCUGCGACUGUUUAUUAAAAACACAGCACUCUGCAAACACGAAAGUGGACGUAUAGGGUGUGACGCCUGCCCGGUGCCGGAAGGUUAAUUGAUGGGGUUAGCUAACGCGAAGCUCUUGAUCGAAGCCCCGGUAAACGGCGGCCGUAACUAUAACGGUCCUAAGGUAGCGAAAUUCCUUGUCGGGUAAGUUCCGACCUGCACGAAUGGCGUAACGAUGGCGGCGCUGUCUCCACCCGAGACUCAGUGAAAUUGAAAUCGCUGUGAAGAUGCAGUGUAUCCGCGGCUAGACGGAAAGACCCCGUGAACCUUUACUAUAGCUUUGCACUGGACUUUGAAUUUGCUUGUGUAGGAUAGGUGGGAGGCUUUGAAGCGUGGACGCCAGUCUGCGUGGAGCCAACCUUGAAAUACCACCCUGGCAACUUUGAGGUUCUAACUCAGGUCCGUUAUCCGGAUCGAGGACAGUGUAUGGUGGGUAGUUUGACUGGGGCGGUCUCCUCCUAAAGAGUAACGGAGGAGUACGAAGGUGCGCUCAGACCGGUCGGAAAUCGGUCGUAGAGUAUAAAGGCAAAAGCGCGCUUGACUGCGAGACAGACACGUCGAGCAGGUACGAAAGUAGGUCUUAGUGAUCCGGUGGUUCUGUAUGGAAGGGCCAUCGCUCAACGGAUAAAAGGUACUCCGGGGAUAACAGGCUGAUACCGCCCAAGAGUUCAUAUCGACGGCGGUGUUUGGCACCUCGAUGUCGGCUCAUCACAUCCUGGGGCUGAAGCCGGUCCCAAGGGUAUGGCUGUUCGCCAUUUAAAGUGGUACGCGAGCUGGGUUUAGAACGUCGUGAGACAGUUCGGUCCCUAUCUGCCGUGGACGUUUGAGAUUUGAGAGGGGCUGCUCCUAGUACGAGAGGACCGGAGUGGACGAACCUCUGGUGUUCCGGUUGUCACGCCAGUGGCAUUGCCGGGUAGCUAUGUUCGGAAUAGAUAACCGCUGAAAGCAUCUAAGCGGGAAACUAGCCUCAAGAUGAGAUCUCACUGGAACCUUGAGUUCCCUGAAGGGCCGUCGAAGACUACGACGUUGAUAGGUUGGGUGUGUAAGCGCUGUGAGGCGUUGAGCUAACCAAUACUAAUUGCCCGUGAGGCUUGAC